UAAUUUGAGAGUUUGAUCCUGGCUCAGGAUGAACGCUGGCGGCGUGCUUAACACAUGCAAGUCGAACGAAGCAACUAUCUUGCUUGCAAGAGAGUUGACUUAGUGGCGGACGGGUGAGUAACGCGUGGGUAACCUGCCUCAUACAGGGGGAUAA
Anaerosporobacter mobilis DSM 15930 is the source of this 154-nucleotide ribosomal RNA. It matches the Rfam family "Bacterial small subunit ribosomal RNA", at positions 1 to 146 of the family's 1533-position model. Lineage: Bacteria; Bacillati; Bacillota; Clostridia; Lachnospirales; Lachnospiraceae. The record is from Rfam.